CAGUCGAACGAUGAACCACUUCGGUGGGGAUUAGUGGCGAACGGGUGAGUAACACGUGGGCAAUCUGCCCUGCACUCUGGGACAAGCCCUGGAAACGGGGUCUAAUACCGGAUACUGAUCAUCUUGGGCAUCCAAGGUGUUCGAAAGCUCCGGCGGUGCAGGAUGAGCCCGCGGCCUAUCAGCUUGUUGGUGAGGUAAUGGCUCACCAAGGCGACGACGGGUAGCCGGCCUGAGAGGGCGACCGGCCACACUGGGACUGAGACACGGCCCAGACUCCUACGGGAGGCAGCAGUGGGGAAUAUUGCACAAUGGGCGAAAGCCUGAUGCAGCGACGCCGCGUGAGGGAUGACGGCCUUCGGGUUGUAAACCUCUUUCAGCAGGGAAGAAGCGAAAGUGACGGUACCUGCAGAAGAAGCGCCGGCUAACUACGUGCCAGCAGCCGCGGUAAUACGUAGGGCGCGAGCGUUGUCCGGAAUUAUUGGGCGUAAAGAGCUCGUAGGCGGCUUGUCACGUCGGUUGUGAAAGCCCGGGGCUUAACCCCGGGUCUGCAGUCGAUACGGGCAGGCUAGAGUUCGGUAGGGGAGAUCGGAAUUCCUGGUGUAGCGGUGAAAUGCGCAGAUAUCAGGAGGAACACCGGUGGCGAAGGCGGAUCUCUGGGCCGAUACUGACGCUGAGGAGCGAAAGCGUGGGGAGCGAACAGGAUUAGAUACCCUGGUAGUCCACGCCGUAAACGGUGGGCACUAGGUGUGGGCAACAUUCCACGUUGUCCGUGCCGCAGCUAACGCAUUAAGUGCCCCGCCUGGGGAGUACGGCCGCAAGGCUAAAACUCAAAGGAAUUGACGGGG
This 845-nucleotide ribosomal RNA is filed under the name Streptomyces sp. HXLW-R27. RNAcentral's name for it is "bacterial SSU rRNA". It matches the Rfam family "Bacterial small subunit ribosomal RNA", at positions 59 to 918 of the family's 1533-position model. Lineage: Bacteria; Bacillati; Actinomycetota; Actinomycetes; Kitasatosporales; Streptomycetaceae. The record is from RNAcentral.